UACGGAGGAUGCAAGCGUUAUCCGGAAUGAUUGGGCGUAAAGCGUCCGCAGGUGGCAUUUCAAGUCUGCGGUCAAAGGUCGAGGCUCAACCUCGAACAGGCCGUGGAAACUGAGAAGCUAGAGUGUGGUAGGGGCAGAGGGAAUUCCCAGUGUAGCGGUGAAAUGCGUAGAGAUUGGGAAGAACACCGGUGGCGAAAGCGCUCUGCUAGGCCAAGACUGACACUGAGGGACGAAAGCUAGGGGAGCGAAUGGG
This 253-nucleotide ribosomal RNA is filed under the name uncultured bacterium. Its description in RNAcentral is "partial 16S ribosomal RNA". It matches the Rfam family "Bacterial small subunit ribosomal RNA", at positions 524 to 776 of the family's 1533-position model. The record is from RNAcentral. RNAcentral also lists the same sequence under 1 other name.